Long non-coding RNA from Bos taurus (domestic cattle), 535 nucleotides. NCBI's taxonomy places the organism in Eukaryota, Metazoa, Chordata, Mammalia, Artiodactyla, Bovidae. The record is from Ensembl.
CUUGGGUGUGCGCUCACUGAAAUUCUUCAGCUUCUCUUCAGGUCAUAACAAAAUACCAUACACAGAGAGGUUCAAACUUCAGGCAUUUAUUUCUAACAUCUCUGGAGGCUGGGACAUCCAAGAUCAAGGUGCUGGCAGAUUCAGUUCUUGAUUUAUAGGAAUAUGGUGAUGAGACCUAGAGUGGACAAGACCAAAGGAUAUCACAUUCCCUCUGGGGUCUGGUCAGCACCAAGAAGUUUGCAACAACCAGCCACAUCCCCUACCCUUUCAGUAUAAAAGAAGCCUGAAUUCUAACUCGGCAUGCAGGAUUUUCAUUCCCCAGUCAGGGGUUGAACCCGAAGCCCCCUGCAUUGGGAAUGCAGAGUCUUAACCACUGGACUGCCAGGGAAGUCCCAAAACCAUACAUCUUAAAGUCAAGGAUGAGGAAAAGCCAGGAUAACCUUACAUUGUUGGUGCAUCUCAAAUCUGUCAGAAUGUCUAUCAUCAAAAAAGAACAUAAAUAAAAAAUGUUGGCGAAGAUAUGGAGAAGAGAGAA